GUCCCUGAAAUCGCACUGCUCAUAAAGUUAUUGCACUGCCCAUAAAGUUAAUUGACCACAGAGAGAGAUUCUCAUCCAACACUGCACUCUUUUGAUCCAAAGAAGCGUACAGCUUCAAACUUCAUGUGAACAAACCUACUUAGGUUUUCAUUGGCUAAUGAGAACACCAUGCACAGAAAAGCCGGAUCCAUGGCGAACCCGAUUGAGUUUUCACUAUGCUCUUCAGGAAUUUUAGCGCAUUUGUUGGGGAUUGUUGCGUUCAAUUUUGAGCUCAUUUGGUCAUCUGUCAUUGUUGACGGGACGAAGUUUGUAUCUCCGCAUGUAUUUCUGAGGCAAAAAGAAGCUAAGCAGAAUGCAGCAAAACUCGCUCUCGAUGGCGUUUUAAGUAAGAUGAAGCUGGAUGGAAUCUCACUGAUUCCCAACGAUACUACAUUUUGCAAGACUAUCCUCCAUGAGUACGCAGCCAAGAUGAAUUUAGAGCUGCCUAGAUAUACAACCUCCAAAUCAGGGGCACAUUUUUCAACAUUUAUUACUUCUGUGUUCUUUGACGGAAAAACUUAUAAAGGUGUUCCAGCUAGGAGCAAAAGAGACGCUGAGCAGCUUGGAGCUCGCACUGUUGUUGACUGGAUAUUAGGUAAAUCUGACAGGAGCAUUGUUAUGGCUGAGAUUAUCAAGUCAAAGGGCAAAUUCUUUGAUGCAUUUAGUAGUGGCAAUGGUUCAUUUGUGCCACAUGACGAUGUUAUGCCCUUGAAAAUGACUCUUGAUUAUCAACAUGGUUCUAUUGCUGCCUCUGAAAAAGACAUGCAUUCUGGUUCAACUGCACCACAAAACAAUAUUGUUCUCUUAAAUGCAUCUUUUGCUAAUCAUCCUGGUUAUAGAAAUAGCAAGGAAAACAACAUGCAUGUUUUAUCAAGAAGUAGUAACCUACCAGUUCAUGCAGCAGUUCACCCGACACUACCAGCUAUGGUAGAAAAUGCCAAAGGAAAAAUUCGACAAUGGAAAAACCAACUUCAAGGCUCAACAAAUGGACAUCUCUACUAUGUCAUCAGUGAAUUUUGCCCUCCACAGGUAAUUGUAGUUAAAAUCACAGACCUAUCAGAUGAUCCAGCAAUAGUUCCAGGAACCAAAAUCCCAACAACAGCGGAAAGCGCUUCAGCAAGAACAAAAAGGGUGGCGCUUUCAAGAAAAAACUUUCACAAGCUUAUUUUCUCUCUGCUCCAGGGUAAUAUAUUUUGCAAAUCUAUCCUCCAUGAGUAUGCAGCUAAGAUGAGAAUGGGGCUGUCAACAUAUACAACUUCCCAGUUAGCGGGACUGUUUCCGACAUUUAUUUCUUCUGUUGUCUUUGACAGAAAAAUGUAUGUAGGUGGUCCUGGAAAGAGCAAACAAGAGGCUAAACAGUUUGGAGCUCGCACUGUUAUUGACCGUAAAUUGGGUGAAUCUGAUAUGAGCACUGUUAUGACUGAGGUUAUUAAGUCAAAGGGCAUACUAGUUGAUGCAUUUAACAGGGGUAGUGGUUCAAUUGUGUCGCAGGACGAUAAUAUGCCCUUGAAACUAACUCUUGAUAAUCACUCUGGUUAUACUACUCCGUUUGAAAAUGACAUGCAUGUUUUACCAACAAAUGGCAAUCUCCCAGUUCCUGCAGUAGAUCACUCUAUACUACCAACUAUAGAAAACCCCAAUGGAAAAACUGUCAAAAAGAACAGUCAACCCGAGGGCUCAACAAGUGGACAUCUCGGCCCUGUCUCCAAUAAUUCUUUCCCUGCAUAGGUAAUUGAAGUUGAAACAGAGGUUGUGUCAGAUGAUCACAACAUGCAUGUUUUAUCAAGAAGUAGUAACGUACCAGCAGUUCUCCCGACACUACCAGCUAUGGUAGAAAAUGUCAAAGAAAACAAUGGAACAACUAACCUCAAGCCUCAACAAAUGGACAUCUCUACUUUGUCAUCAGUGAAUCUUGCCCUCGACAGGCUUUCACAAGCUCAUUUUCUCUCUGGAUAAUAUAUUUUACAAAUCUAUCCUCCAUGAGUAUGCAGCUAAGAUGAGAAUAGCUAAGAUGAGAAUGGGGCUGCCAACAUAUACAACUUCCCAGUUAGCGGGACUGUUUCCGACAUUUAUUUCUUCUGUUGUCUUUGAUGGAAAAAUGUAUGUAGGUGGUCCUGGAAGGAGCAAACAAGAGGCUGAACAGUUUGGAGCUCGCACUGUUAUUGACCGUAUAUUGGGUGAAUCUGAUAUGAGCACUGUUAUGACUGAGGUUAUUAAGUCAAAGGACAUACUAGUUGAUGCAUUUAAUAGGGGUAGUGGUUCAAUUGUGCCGCAGGACGAUAAGCCCUUGAAACUAGUUCUUGAUAAUCACGAUGGUUAUACUGCUCCUUUGAAAAUGGCAUGCAUGUUUUACCAACAAAUGGCAAUCUCCCAGUUUCUGCAGCAGAUCGCUCUAUACUACCUACUAUACAAAACCCCAAAGGAAAAACUGUGAAGAAGAACUGUCAACCCAAGGGCUCAACAAGUGGACAUCUCGGCCCUGUCUCCAAUAAUUAUUCCCCUGCACAGGUAAUUGAAGUUGAAACAGAGGUUGUGUCAGAUGAUCAAGCAAGGCUGGCAAGGCUGUCAGGUCACAUACAGAUCCCAGGUCCCAGCAACAGCAAGAAACGCUCCCGCAAGUACAAAAAAUGCGGUGUUUCUGAGACAAUCCGAACCCUUCCUCAAGAGAACAAACAGGACAGUGGUUCCAAUAAAAUGCUAUAGGACAAAUGAUUCAGUUUUGGAAUGCCAAGGAAAGCUUUUAAGCUCUGCUUCAGCUUUUUCAUCUCAGGUACAUUGUUCCGUUGACUGGAGUCUCUCUUCACUGGAUGAGCUUGUUUUCUUUGAAUCUUGCUAAAUCUUUGCUUGUUAUUUGGACUAUGGAAUUCUUUUAUAGUCAUCCUACAUUUACACUGAUAUGUCCAUUAUACCUCUAUGUUCCUCUUGUUUCGUUACUUUGGGUUGAGUUCAAUCUCUUUGUUGUCUUUCUCGACAUCAUUUAAUUCAUGUAACUUGAAGAUGCACGUAGCAUCCCCAACCAUUUACUUUGUGAAACAUGAAUUCUUUAUAUGUAUGUUAAAAUAAUUGUGAAUGCUAAGUUUUUAGGAUGCAAGGAUUA
This is an RNA transcript of Asparagus officinalis (garden asparagus), 3136 nucleotides long. RefSeq lists it as uncharacterized. Lineage: Eukaryota; Viridiplantae; Streptophyta; Magnoliopsida; Asparagales; Asparagaceae. The record is from RefSeq and is a predicted model, not a curated record. The transcript has 15 exons.